UACGUAGGCAGCAAGCGUUGUUCGGAAUUACUGGGCGUAAAGAGUGUGUAGGCGGUGCUCUAAGUCUGUUGUGAAAUCUCCCGGCUUAACUGGGAGGGUGCGGCGGAAACUGGAGUGCUCGAGGGUGGGAGAGGUAAGCGGAAUUCCUGGUGUAGCGGUGAAAUGCGUAGAUAUCAGGAGGAACACCUGUGGUGUAGACAGCUUACUGGACCACGACUGACGCUGAGACACGAAAGCGUGGGUAGCAAACAG
Molecule: ribosomal RNA, 252 nt
Filed under: uncultured bacterium
Lineage: Bacteria
Description: partial 16S ribosomal RNA
Rfam family: Bacterial small subunit ribosomal RNA
Source: RNAcentral